UUUGCUUAUUCUGGAUCAGUAUUAUGGAAUGGACUACCACACACAAUGCAUAAAGCUCAAAACACUUUUACUUUUAAGCAAAGUAUCAAGAAGUACCUAACACAACCCUGAUAAGAAAUGUUUGCUACAAUGUAUUUGUAUAUUUUUUUUGUUUUUUAUUUUCAUUUGAUUUUUUGACUACAUGUAUACAUCUUAAACAGCAUUAUAUCUUAUGUUAAUAACAA
Molecule: long non-coding RNA, 224 nt
Filed under: Mytilus galloprovincialis (Mediterranean mussel)
Lineage: Eukaryota; Metazoa; Mollusca; Bivalvia; Mytilida; Mytilidae
Source: RNAcentral